RNAcentral lists this ribosomal RNA (1029 nucleotides) under Triticum aestivum (bread wheat). RNAcentral's name for it is "partial small subunit ribosomal RNA". The record is from RNAcentral. Lineage: Eukaryota; Viridiplantae; Streptophyta; Magnoliopsida; Poales; Poaceae.
AUGGAGGAGAGGUACGAGGCGUUGAAGGAGCUGGGGACCGGCAACUUCGGGGUGGCGAGGCUGGUCAGGGACAAGCGCACCAAGGAGCUCGUCGCCGUCAAGUACAUCGAGAGGGGCAAGAAGAUUGAUGAGAAUGUGCAGAGGGAGAUCAUCAAUCACCGCUCGCUCCGGCACCCAAACAUCAUACGAUUCAAGGAGGUUUGUGUAACCCCGACGCACCUUGCCAUCGUCAUGGAAUAUGCUGCUGGCGGAGAACUCUUUGAAAGAAUAUGCACCGCGGGGCGAUUCAGUGAAGAUGAGGCAAGAUACUUCUUCCAGCAACUACUUUCAGGGGUCAGCUACUGCCAUUCUAUGGAAAUCUGUCACCGUGAUCUUAAACUGGAAAACACUCUCCUGGAUGGGAGUCCAACACCUCGAGUGAAAAUUUGCGACUUUGGUUACUCAAAGUCUGCUUUGCUGCACUCCAAACCAAAAUCAACAGUUGGUACUCCAGCAUACAUAGCGCCAGAAGUACUUUCGAGAAAAGAAUACGACGGCAAGGUAGCGGACGUUUGGUCCUGCGGCGUGACAUUGUACGUGAUGCUCAUCGGGUCAUACCCAUUUGAGGACCCCGAGGAUCCAAGGAACUUCCGGAAAACUAUCAGCAGAAUCCUUGGCGUGCAAUACUCCAUUCCGGACUACGUCAGGGUGUCCUCCGACUGCAGACGCCUCCUGUCCCAAAUAUUCACUGCCGAUCCUUCAAAGAGGAUCACGAUCGCUGAGAUCAAGAAGCUGCCGUGGUACCUGAAGAGCCUGCCCAAGGAGAUCGCGGAGAGGGACAGGGCCAACUUCAAGGAGCCCGAGACGGAGACGGGGACCGCGGCGGCGGCGGCGCAGCCCGUGGAGGAGAUCAUGCGGAUCAUCCAGGAGGCCAAGGCCCCCGGCGAAAUGUCCAAGUCGUCGGCCGACGCGGCGCUGCUCGCCGAGCUGGCCGAGCUGCAGAGUGACGACGAGGAGGAGGGGCCGGGAGCCGAGGGGGAGACCUACUGA